This 253-nucleotide ribosomal RNA is filed under the name uncultured bacterium. RNAcentral's name for it is "partial 16S ribosomal RNA". It matches the Rfam family "Bacterial small subunit ribosomal RNA", at positions 524 to 776 of the family's 1533-position model. The record is from RNAcentral.
UACGAAGGGGGCGAGCGUUGUUCGGAUUUACUGGGCGUAAAGGGCGCGUAGGCGGCGGGUCAAGUCGAGUGUGAAAGCCCCGGGCUCAACCUGGGAAUUGCGCUCGAGACUGGUCUGCUUGAGUUCGGGAGAGGAGAGUGGAAUUCCCAGUGUAGAGGUGAAAUUCGUAGAUAUUGGGAAGAACACCGGUGGCGAAGGCGGCUCUCUGGGACGGUACUGACGCUGAGACGCGAAAGCGUGGGUAGCAAACAGG